AGACGUAGGGGGCGAGCGUUGUCCGGAAUCACUGGGCGUAAAGAGCACGUAGGCGGGAUAUUAAGUCAGGUGUGAAAGACCGUGGCUCAACCACGGGGUUGCAUUUGAAACUGAUAUUCUUGAGGGCAGGAGAGGACAGUAGAAUUCCUGGUGUAGCGGUGAAAUGCGUAGAAAUCAGGAGGAAUACCGGUGGCGAAGGCGACUGUCUGGACUGACCCUGACGCUGAGGUGCGAAAGCGUGGGUAGCAAACAGGAUUAGAUACCCUGGUAGUCCACGCCGUAAACUAGGGAUACUAGGUGUAGGGGGUAUCGACCCCUUCUGUGCCGCAGCAAACGCAAUAAGUAUCCCGCCUGGGGAGUACGAUCGCAAGGUUGAAACUCAAAUGAAUUGACGGGG
Molecule: ribosomal RNA, 397 nt
Filed under: uncultured bacterium
Lineage: Bacteria
Description: partial 16S ribosomal RNA
Rfam family: Bacterial small subunit ribosomal RNA
Source: RNAcentral